RNAcentral lists this ribosomal RNA (504 nucleotides) under uncultured soil bacterium. RNAcentral describes it as "bacterial SSU rRNA". It matches the Rfam family "Bacterial small subunit ribosomal RNA", at positions 26 to 518 of the family's 1533-position model. The record is from RNAcentral.
AGAUUGAACGCUGGCGGCAGGCCUAACACAUGCAAGUCGAGCGGUUGAAGGUAGCUUGCUACCUGAUGCAGCGGCGGACGGGUGAGUAACGCGUGGGAAUCUGCCCAGUAGUGGGGGGACAACAGCCGGAAACGGCUGCUAAUACCGCAUACGCCCUACGGGGGAAAGGGGGGAUCUUCGGACCUCUCGCUAUUGGAUGAGCCCGCGUCGGAUUAGCUAGUUGGUAGGGUAAAGGCCUACCAAGGCUACGAUCCGUAACUGGUCUGAGAGGAUGAUCAGUCACACUGGAACUGAGACACGGUCCAGACUCCGUACGGGAGGCAGCAGUGGGGAAUAUUGGACAAUGGGGGCAACCCUGAUCCAGCCAUGCCGCGUGUGUGAAGAAGGCCUUCGGGUUGUAAACCGUCUUUUGGUACGGGUAAGAAAAGCUACUAGGCCAAUACCUUGGAAGUCAUGACGGUACCCGAAGAAUAAGCACCGGACUAACUACGUGCCAGCAGCCGC